GAUCAUGGCUCAGAUUGAACGCUGGCGGCAGGCUUAACACAUGCAAGUCGAACGGUAACAGGAGAGAGCUUGCUUUCUUGCUGACGAGUGGCGGACGGGUGAGUAAUGCUUGGGAAUCUGGCUUAUGGAGGGGGAGUAACGACGGGAAACUGUCGCUAAUACCGCGUAGAGUCGAGAGACGAAAGUGCGGGACCGCAAGGCGCAUGCCAUAGGAUGAGCCCAAGUGGGAUUAGG
RNAcentral lists this ribosomal RNA (234 nucleotides) under uncultured bacterium. RNAcentral's name for it is "partial 16S ribosomal RNA". It matches the Rfam family "Bacterial small subunit ribosomal RNA", at positions 15 to 245 of the family's 1533-position model. The record is from RNAcentral.